UACACGACUCUCGGCAACGGAUAUCUAGGCUCUCGCAUCGAUGAAGAACGUAGCAAACUGCGAUACUUGGUGUGAAUUGCAGAAUCCCGUGAACCAUCGAGUCUUUGAACGCAAGUUGCGCCCGAAGCCGUUAGGCCGAGGGCACGUCUGCCUGGGCGUCACGC
RNAcentral lists this ribosomal RNA (164 nucleotides) under Leichhardtia micradenia. Its description in RNAcentral is "Marsdenia micradenia 5.8S ribosomal RNA". It matches the Rfam family "5.8S ribosomal RNA". Rfam says of the family: 5.8S ribosomal RNA (5.8S rRNA) is a component of the large subunit of the eukaryotic ribosome. It is transcribed by RNA polymerase I as part of the 45S precursor that also contains 18S and 28S rRNA. Functionally, it is thought that 5.8S rRNA may be involved in ribosome translocation. Lineage: Eukaryota; Viridiplantae; Streptophyta; Magnoliopsida; Gentianales; Apocynaceae. The record is from RNAcentral. RNAcentral also lists the same sequence under 3 other names.